CCCUUAGAUGUCCUGGGUCGCACGCGUGCUACACUGACGCCUACAGCGAGUACUUCCCAGCCCCGAGAGGUGGCUGGUAAUCAGCAAUAGGCGUCGUGAUGGGGAUAGAUCUUUGGAAUUAUGGAUCUUGAACGAGGAAUGCCUAGUAAGCGCAGGUCAUUAGCCUGCGCUGAUUAAGUCCCUGCCCUUUGUACACACCGCCCGUCGCUCCUACCGAUUUCGAGUGGUCCGGUGAAUCUUUCGGACUGCGCGCGGCCUCGUGCCGUGUCGCGGAAAGUCAGGUAAACCUUAUCACUUAGAGGAAGGAGAAGUCGUAACA
RNAcentral lists this ribosomal RNA (319 nucleotides) under uncultured eukaryote. RNAcentral's name for it is "partial 18S ribosomal RNA". It matches the Rfam family "Eukaryotic small subunit ribosomal RNA", at positions 1470 to 1796 of the family's 1831-position model. The record is from RNAcentral.